Molecule: transfer RNA, 76 nt
Filed under: Spirochaeta sp. LUC14_002_19_P3
Lineage: Bacteria; Pseudomonadati; Spirochaetota; Spirochaetia; Spirochaetales; Spirochaetaceae
Description: tRNA-Pro
Rfam family: tRNA
About the family: Transfer RNA (tRNA) molecules are approximately 80 nucleotides in length. Their secondary structure includes four short double-helical elements and three loops (D, anti-codon, and T loops). Further hydrogen bonds mediate the characteristic L-shaped molecular structure. tRNAs have two regions of fundamental functional importance: the anti-codon, which is responsible for specific mRNA codon recognition, and the 3' end, to which the tRNAs corresponding amino acid is attached (by aminoacyl-tRNA synthetases). tRNAs cope with the degeneracy of the genetic code in two manners: having more than one tRNA (with a specific anti-codon) for a particular amino acid; and 'wobble' base-pairing, i.e. permitting non-standard base-pairing at the 3rd anti-codon position.
Source: RNAcentral
CGGAAUGUAGCCCAGUGGCCAGGGCACCUGCUUUGGGAGCAGGAGAUCGGAGGUUCGAGUCCUCCCAUUCCGACUA